GUAGUCAUAUGCUUGUCUCAAAGAUUAAGCCAUGCAUGUCUAAGUAUAAGCAAUUAUACCGCGAAACUGCGAAUGGCUCAUUAUAUAAGUUAUCGUUUAUUUGAUAAUACUUUACUACUUGGAUAACCGUGGUAAUUCUAGAGCUAAUACAUGCUAAAAAUCCCGACUUCGGAAGGGUUGUAUUUAUUAGAUUAAAAACCAAUGCCCCUCGGGGCUCUCUGGUGAAUCAUGAUAACUAGUCGAAUCGACAGGCCUUGUGCCGGCGAUGGCUCAUUCAAAUUUCUUCCCUAUCAACUUUCGAUGUUUGGGUAUUGUCCAAACAUGGUGGCAACGGGUAACGGAGGGUUAGGGCUCGACCCCGGAGAAGGAGCCUGAGAAACGGCUACUACAUCCAAGGAAGGCAGCAGGCGCGCAAAUUACCCAAUCCCGACACGGGGAGGUAGUGACAAUAAAUACUGAUACAGGGCUCUUUUGGGUCUUGUAAUCGGAAUGAGUACAAUUUAAAUCCCUUAACGAGGAA
Molecule: ribosomal RNA, 520 nt
Filed under: uncultured fungus
Lineage: Eukaryota; Fungi
Description: SSU rRNA
Rfam family: Eukaryotic small subunit ribosomal RNA
Source: RNAcentral